UACGUAGGGCGCAAGCGUUAUCCGGAAUUAUUGGGCGUAAAGAGCUCGUAGGCGGUUUGUCGCGUCUGCCGUGAAAGUCCGGGGCUCAACUCCGGAUCUGCGGUGGGUACGGGCAGACUAGAGUGAUGUAGGGGAGACUGGAAUUCCUGGUGUAGCGGUGAAAUGCGCAGAUAUCAGGAGGAACACCGAUGGCGAAGGCAGGUCUCCUGGGCAUUAACUGACGCUGAGGAGCGAAAGCAUGGGGAGCGAACAGG
Molecule: ribosomal RNA, 254 nt
Filed under: uncultured bacterium
Lineage: Bacteria
Description: partial 16S ribosomal RNA
Rfam family: Bacterial small subunit ribosomal RNA
Source: RNAcentral